This 1800-nucleotide ribosomal RNA is filed under the name Gammaproteobacteria bacterium 28-57-27. Its description in RNAcentral is "bacterial LSU rRNA". It matches the Rfam family "Bacterial large subunit ribosomal RNA", at positions 1 to 1999 of the family's 2925-position model. The record is from RNAcentral. Lineage: Bacteria; Pseudomonadati; Pseudomonadota; Gammaproteobacteria.
GUUAUAUGGUCAAGUGAAUAAGCGCAUACGGUGAAUGCCUUGGCGAUAAGAGGCGAUGAAAGACGUGGCAGCCUGCGAAAAGCGUCGGGGAGCUGGCAACAAGCUUUGAUCCGACGAUGUCUGAAUGGGGAAACCCGGCCGCAAGGUCAUCUUUAGGCUGAAUCCAUAGGCCUUUAGAAGCGAACGUGGGGAACUGAAACAUCUAAGUACCUGCAGGAACAGAAAUCAACCGAGAUUCCCUGAGUAGUGGCGAGCGAAAUGGGAAGAGCCAGUCAUCUUUAGCAUCUGAUCUAGUGGAAUGGUAUGGAAAGGCCAGCAACAAAGGGUGAUAGCCCCGUACACGAAAGACAGAUGUGGAACUAAGUUGACGACAAGUAGGGCGGGACACGUGAAAUCCUGUCUGAAGAUGGGGGGACCAUCCUCCAAGGCUAAAUACUACUUAUCGACCGAUAGUGAACUAGUACCGUGAGGGAAAGGCGAAAAGAACCCCGGCGAGGGGAGUGAAAUAGAACCUGAAACCGUAUGCGUACAAGCAGUGGGAGCAGACUUGUUCUGUGACUGCGUACCUUUUGUAUAAUGGGUCAGCGACUUACUUCUCAGUGGCGAGCUUAACCGAAUAGGGGAGGCGUAGCGAAAGCGAGUCUGAAUAGGGCGUUUAGUCGCUGGGAGUAGACCCGAAACCGGAGCGAUCUAUCCAUGGCCAGGAUGAAGGUUGGGUAAAACCAACUGGAGGUCCGAACCCACGCCUGUUGAAAAAGUCGGGGAUGAGCUGUGGAUCGGAGUGAAAGGCUAAUCAAGCCCGGAGAUAGCUGGUUCUCCUCGAAAGCUAUUUAGGUAGCGCCUCGUAUCUCACUCUCGGAAUCUAUGCUCAGUGGGAAACGAUGUGGGAAGGCAUAGACAGCCAGGAGGUUGGCUUAGAAGCAGCCACCCUUUAAAGAAAGCGUAAUAGCUCACUGGUCGAGUCGGCCUGCGCGGAAGAUUUAACGGGGCUAAGCAUAGUACCGAAGCUGCGGAUGCCGCAAGGCAUGGUAGAGGAGCGUUCUGUAAGCCUGUGAAGGUGAGUUGAGAAGCUUGCUGGAGGUAUCAGAAGUGCGAAUGCUGACAUGAGUAACGAUAAUGCGGGUGAAAAGCCCGCACGCCGAAAAUCUAAGGUUUCCUGCUCAACGUUCAUCGGAGCAGGGUUAGUCGGACCCUAAGGCGAGGCCGAGAGGCGUAGUCGAUGGAAAAAAGAUUAAUAUUUCUUUACCUCGUUAUAUUGCGAUGGGGGGACGGAGAAGGUUAGGCCAGCCUGGCGACGGUUGUCCAGGUUUAAGCGUUUAGGCAGAAUCCUUAGGCAAAUCCGGGGGUUCAAUGCUGAGUCGUGAUGACGAGUCACCAAGGUGACGAAGUGGUUGAUACCAUGCUUCCAGGAAAAGCCUCUAAGCUUCAGAUAUAACGAGACCGUACCACAAACCGACACAGGUAGAUUGGUCGAGAAGACUAAGGCGUUUGAGAGAACUUGGGUGAAGGAACUAGGCAAAAUAGCACCGUAACUUCGGGAGAAGGUGCGCCACGGUAGGGUUAAUAGCCCGAGGUGGCUGCAAUGACCAGGCCGCUGCGACUGUUUAUCAAAAACACAGCACUCUGCAAACUCGAAAGAGGACGUAUAGGGUGUGACGCCUGCCCGGUGCCGGAAGGUUAAUUGAUGGGGUUAGCGCAAGCGAAGCUCUUGAUCGAAGCCCCGGUAAACGGCGGCCGUAACUAUAACGGUCCUAAGGUAGCGAAAUUCCUUGUCGGGUAAGUUCCGACCUGCACGAAUGG